This is a long non-coding RNA of Quercus robur (English oak), 1131 nucleotides long. RefSeq lists it as uncharacterized. The transcript has 6 exons. The record is from RefSeq and is a predicted model, not a curated record. Lineage: Eukaryota; Viridiplantae; Streptophyta; Magnoliopsida; Fagales; Fagaceae.
UACUCCCAAAAAACACUUGCGUUACUGAGAACGGAGAAGGAGAGAGAGAUCGAGAGAUCAAAAACUGAAACCCAAAACAUCAGACACCAAUCAAGAUGAAGAAGAGCCGUACAGUCUCUUCUAAUAUCCCCAAACUCUCUCUCUCUCUCUUCUCACGAACCCUAAUCUUUUUCUUCAAGAAUAUUCAAUCCCUUCAAUCCAGGCUACAGAUCUAGAGUCUCUAAUUUAAUCAAAGCAAAGUAAGUUGCGGAGACAAGUAGAGAAUCUGUCAUGUAGCCAGAACCACUACAGAGAGCAAAGAGUAGGGAGGCAAUGAGACAUGAGAGAAUUAGAAGUGUUACCAACAAACGAUGCAAUUUCAACAUGAUUGGUAGACCCAAUGCGGCUGGCUAAUCUUCUUUGCAGGAUAGCCUUUAUUGUCUACAACAAUCUGUCAUUAACACAGAUUGAACACCACAAUGGACAUUAAUAUUACACAAAUUAUACCAAGGAGACCACGUGAAGUACAUGAUGGAGAACUUUCCUUGCAUAAUGGAAAAUCAAUAUCUUAAAUAAAGGACUUGGAGUGGAACUUAGAGACAAAGGUAUCAAAGGUAAACGAGAAAAACUAUUUGUAAAUUUACAAAUGCACACAUAAUAAAAAUAUACAUUAUACUAACAACUUUGCAACUGAAACAAGUAUAGGAUACAUGUCCAAGUAGAAAGUAAAACCGAUUCAACAACAUUCAUUUCAUUUGACAAAGCGACUGAGAAAUUUGUAUCUAAGACUAUAAAAGAACUUGCAGAGAUAUAAGCAGAGCUUAUAAACCUGCUGAAGAUGGAAAAUGAGAAGAUGAUAGCAUGCUUAUUCAAAUGCUUCGCAAAUGAAACAAUGCUACUAACAAAAUGCAUCAAAGAAGAAGAAAAAUUGAAGGAGGAAAAAUAGCAACUACAAAAUUCAAUUUAAUUUUCAGUUUUUGUUUUUCCUCCUACCUAGUGGGUGAAUUUUUAAUAAUAAAACAAUGAAUGUGAUUGCUAUUAAGUUGACAGGUUUUUAGUGUUAUCAUCUUAAUAUCUUUUGGUUAAUUUUUUGUUUAUAGUUUGUGAAAUUUCUAUUGCUAUGACAGCCUUGCAGCUAUUCUUUGAUGAUAA